GCCUUGCUUACNCCGAGUUGUUGUUUGUCAANCCCAAACUGUUCUGA
RNAcentral lists this transfer RNA (47 nucleotides) under Pristimantis unistrigatus (striped robber frog). RNAcentral describes it as "partial tRNA-Val". Lineage: Eukaryota; Metazoa; Chordata; Amphibia; Anura; Strabomantidae. The record is from RNAcentral.